AACGUGCCCUUCUCUAUGGAAUAGCCACUGGAAACGGUGAGUAAUACCAUAUACGCCCUUCGGGGGAAAGAUUUAUCGGAGAAGGAUCGGCCCGCGUUAGAUUAGGUAGUUGGUGGGGUAAUGGCCUACCAAGCCUACGAUCUAUAGCUGGUUUUAGAGGAUGAUCAGCCACACUGGGACUGAGACACGGCCCAGACUCCUACGGGAGGCAGCAGUGGGGAAUCUUAGACAAUGGGCGCAAGCCUGAUCUAGCCAUGCCGCGUGAGUGAUGAAGGCCUUAGGGUCGUAAAGCUCUUUCGCCAGAGAUGAUAAUGACAGUAUCUGGUAAAGAAACCCCGGCUAACUCCGUGCCAGCAGCCGCGGUAAUACGGAGGGGGUUAGCGUUGUUCGGAAUUACUGGGCGUAAAGCGCACGUAGGCGGAUUAGAAAGUUGGGGGUGAAAUCCCGGGGCUCAACCUCGGAACGGCCUCCAAAACUCCUAGUCUAGAGUUCGAGAGAGGUGAGUGGAAUUCCAAGUGUAGAGGUGAAAUUCGUAGAUAUUUGGAGGAACACCAGUGGCGAAGGCGGCUCACUGGCUCGAUACUGACGCUGAGGUGCGAAAGUGUGGGGAGCAAACAGGAUUAGAUACCCUGGUAG
Molecule: ribosomal RNA, 636 nt
Filed under: uncultured Phaeobacter sp.
Lineage: Bacteria; Pseudomonadati; Pseudomonadota; Alphaproteobacteria; Rhodobacterales; Roseobacteraceae
Description: bacterial SSU rRNA
Rfam family: Bacterial small subunit ribosomal RNA
Source: RNAcentral